AGAUUUGGUGUAGCGCUCCUGCGGAAGUAUCUACUCGUAACGGAAUUUCAGGUGUCAAAGUGCGGAUCUCAUAUAGUCAAAAUAAGAAGGGACGUGCUAUAUCCGAAACGUACGAAAUAUAGUAAAUAUUUUAAAUGCAGAUGUAGUAGGGGUCGCGAACCGGAUGGUACACAACUUGGUUUUGGAAGAUAUGGCACCAAAAGUUGUAGAGCUGGUCGUCUUUCAUACCGAGCCAUUGAAGCAGCGCGUCGGGCUACAAUCGGACAAUUCCAUCGUGCUAUGAGCGGACAAUUCCGAAGAAAUUGUAAGAUAUGGGUAAGAGUUCUCGCAGAUCUUCCGGUCACUGUCCGUGGAUGUGUCCAUAUAGGGUGGUUUCAAAAUUUUAGGAAAAAAUCCAGCACAUUGACAGAACAUCAAUGUAUGUUGUCAAAAAAAUUCAAAUCAAAAUUCGAAACAUAG
This 459-nucleotide ribosomal RNA is filed under the name Triticum aestivum (bread wheat). RNAcentral describes it as "partial small subunit ribosomal RNA". The record is from RNAcentral. Lineage: Eukaryota; Viridiplantae; Streptophyta; Magnoliopsida; Poales; Poaceae.